GAGGCCACAUCACGUUGAAACACCGGUUCCCGUACGAUCACCGAAGUUAAACUGGUCAGUAACUAGAUGGGUGACCGAUUGCGAAUACCAGGUGCUGUAAG
Molecule: non-coding RNA, 101 nt
Organism: Acanthosepion pharaonis
Lineage: Eukaryota; Metazoa; Mollusca; Cephalopoda; Sepiida; Sepiidae
Source: the annotation of a GenBank genome assembly